UCUGUAUUCUUACUCUUUUAACUUUAUUUCUUUUUAAUCAAUUUUUCUACAUCUUAAAAACUAGUAUCGCAUUGUUACAUAUCUUUCUCGGUAAUAGAUAUAUGUUUUCGUUCUUUUACAGCCAUCUUCUUGUCUGGAUUGCAGCAAACACAAUCAAAAACUGCUUUUCUGCUGAAAGAGAUUUAUCACAUGAUGAAUGUGGGAUUCAAGAUGCACCUUUCUUUACAUGAUCAGCAUCUUUCACAGCCCAUAAACAUUUUUAAGUGACCUUCGGUUCUGUUGUAUUCAAUGCUGUUAUUUUGAAGUUGGAAUUACUGCCUUCUCGGAUAGUUCCUGAAAGUUACUUUCAUGGUAUGUGUACUGCCAACAAAUCUUCUCCCAGUGCUUUUUUUUUUUGGUUUUAAUUCAUACUUCAAGACCUAAAAAUUCAUGUUUUUAACUUAGAGAGAAUAUCAUCGCGCGGAAGCUGCUUGAAUAUUAUGUUUCUAAAUUGCAGAAAAGAGCAUUAACUUGGCAUUAAGCUUAAAAAAAGACCACAUGAAGACCAUAAAUCCACAAAAACAUUAUUAUAAAAUCUUUGGACUCUUCAUUUAUGGAAGUUUGUUGAAUAGCUUUUCUGUUAGAAACUCUGCAUUUUUUUUAACACCAUAUGGUCGCUAGAAAUACCUGCUGAAUAAAAUUAGAAACCAAAACGUCUUUAGAUUCAUCAUCAAUAAGAAAUUACCAGUUGCAAAAAAAAUCACUCUUAAUUAGGGAACUUAAUGACCAUAAUCAGGGGGGGGGGGUGAUAGUAUUAAGUACAAAUUGAAAAAAUUAGAUCAAUUGAUGCACAUGCUGAAUAUUGGAUCAGACAUACAACAUGUUUUGGUUGGAAUAUGUACGUGUGUUUCCUAUACAUGUUUUAUUAGUUAAUUGGUAAGUAUGACCCGUCUGGUGAAGUAGAUGGUUGUGCCAAAAAUAUUGUUUGGAGCCUCAAAACUCAUCCGUUAUUUUGGACUCUUGAUCAGUUGUGACUUCAAAGUAGCUGGAGCAGUGAUAAUUAAGAUAAUAAAACGGCAUGUGGUGGAAAUGCAUUUAUCAAGAUUUCAGAGUGAGCGAGGAAGCAUGUGUCGUCUGCGUCCAUUGACCAUGGAUUGUUUUAUGGAAGCAUGCUGUUUUCUCAAUAAACAAAUAAAACAAGAAAAGAGAAGACAUUGAUUGCAUUAGAGUUAAAUAGUUAUGAAGCCAAUUAGCCAUAAUAUAUAAUAAUGAUUAUUAUGUAUGCAAUGCAAUAUUGCUCUAUGAAUCUAUAUAGUUUUAUAAUUCUUGUUUUUUCUUUUUUUCUUUUUAAGAUCAACGCUGUUGCAUAUAUAUUCGAGAGUCCACUUGCUUUCCAUCGCAAAAUACCAUUGAGAAUUGCUCAUGUAAUUAGUUAGUUGAAUAACUUAUUAUUAUUAUUGUUAUAAUUAUUUUUAUAGAAUAAUAUAAAUUACAUUUUGAAGUUAGAUAGUUUUUUAACAUGGUAUUAGAAUAUUAAUAAUUAAAUGGUUAUGUAUUUGAAUUUCAUCAUUUUUAUUUUUUUAAUUAAAAUUAAUUAAUAGCAUAAAGUAGCGUGAAACUAUAUAAUUUUUAAGUUUAAAAAUUUUUGGAUUGAAAUGAUUAGUUUUACAUAAAUUAUAAAUUAAUGUAACAAAGGGAGAACCUAAUUACAGAUAAUUAAGUCUAGAAAAAGAUUAAAUAGCUUGCCUUAUUUCACAUAUAUGUUUGUUUCUGCUAGUGUAUGGAUAAUUUUCAUGGCUGACCGAGUCAGAAGGAAGGAGCUAACAGUUGAUCUAUAAUGCAUGCUUUAUCUAGAUUCAUGUGAACAAAUCUAGUUCUCUUUAUCUUCAUUUUUUUUUAGUAAUGCAUAAUCAUGAUAAUAUUCUCCCAGUCGUGUUAAUUUCCAUAAGAAACUUUCUUCUUAUGUCCAAUUUCCUUAUAUUCGAACCUACAAGAGGGGAGUAAAUCCAGUAAUCACCCACGGUGUCCUUCCAAAGCACCUGGCUAGUUAUUAUGAUUUGCAGCGAAAUUGUUUUUUUCAUUCAUUUAUUUAUUUAAAUAAAACUAUAUAUGGGCUAUAUAUAGUGUCAUCAAUAUCUUUGAGUUUUCAUUGAACAAUUAUGAAGUUCAUAUCAAUUGCUUGCGCAAUAGGAUAUUGACUAUAGUCUUCUGCAUUAUGUUAUUAAAUAAACCUUUCAAUCUAUCAUUCUUCUUAGCUAUGAUCGUUUUGUCUCGGUAGUUGAAAGUAGUUCGGCGGUAAGUGUUGUCUUUACAUGCAUGUAUAGUUCUUGUAAGAACUACAGUGAUUGGCGCAGCCUUAAAUUGAAAUAUUACACUA
Populus trichocarpa (black cottonwood) is the source of this 2356-nucleotide long non-coding RNA. RefSeq lists it as uncharacterized. NCBI's taxonomy places the organism in Eukaryota, Viridiplantae, Streptophyta, Magnoliopsida, Malpighiales, Salicaceae. The record is from RefSeq and is a predicted model, not a curated record. The transcript has 2 exons.